UAUCUUUCCUGUCCUGUAUGUCUGGUUUCCUUUGCAAAGAUCCAAGAAUGCAGGCAGGAAGGGAGCAGUAGCAUAGAGCAGUAACUCCUUGAUCUGAACAAACAUUGGACCAAGAACUGUGAGACACAAGAUUAAGAAAUGUUGAACAAAAACAACACAAAGGAUCUUCUCUACUUGCCAGUCUGGGAUAAGUAACAGUAACUCCAGUGCCUCUGCCUGAGAAACAGAAGCUUUGCUGAUUGGUUACAUUUUCUUCCUGUCUUUUUAAAGCUCACAACAUGUUUACUCUUCCCAUUAGAUGAAAUGCCACUUAUUAUCCAUAAAUUGUCAAAAGUGGUUUUUAAUAGCUCCGAAAUUUCAUCAGCCGGUUCAAGAUGUGUCCUAGGACAUAAAGGUGACAUCCUUGCCUUGGCACUGACCACUCCACUAACCAAGCUAAUUAACAGUAGUAAGUCAAUCAGCUGUCUGAUGAUGGAGAAGGUCCGUGGAGCCACACUGAGUUUCAUUUAUCCAUGGACUGAGGCAUACCAAACAGGAUGCUUUGAAAAUGCCACCAUUGCACUUUUAACUUUUACAAUGUGCACUCUGCUGGUCUGAUCAUCUGCACUCUGUGCAACAUCUGUAGUUCUAAGUGAUUCUUUCCAUAUGGUGAAAGUUCUGGAGACUGACAGGCUAAUUUGUCCAACCAGAAUGUACUUAUAUAAAUAAGAUUACACUAAGAUCUUAGGGGCAAGGGGAAUUUGCAGUGCCAUAUGUGUUAAUUUCUGUGCCAGAUAAAAUGAUUUUAAUCCACUGCAACUGUAUGUGCUUUGCCCGGGAAAAUUAUACU
Vidua chalybeata is the source of this 829-nucleotide long non-coding RNA. RefSeq lists it as uncharacterized. The transcript has 3 exons. Lineage: Eukaryota; Metazoa; Chordata; Aves; Passeriformes; Viduidae. The record is from RefSeq and is a predicted model, not a curated record.